CGACCUAUGGUGACAGAACUCGCAUGCCUAAACCUUGAUAAAACUGAGGCUUUUUGCUUCUCUUUCAACACUUCUUGGGAGGAUCCAAAGGGGCUAAAAGAUUCAUGAUAGAAUGUCGAACCUGAUGUAUUGUCUAGCACUCUUCUUGAUACUCCAUGAAACCAAAUCUUGAAUUUGUUUUUUGUUCUUGAUUACCAGGUAUUACUGAAGUAUGGUGACAGG
This 222-nucleotide unclassified non-coding RNA is filed under the name Hevea brasiliensis (rubber tree). Lineage: Eukaryota; Viridiplantae; Streptophyta; Magnoliopsida; Malpighiales; Euphorbiaceae. The record is from RNAcentral.